UACGAAGGGUGCGAGCGUUGUCCGGAAUUACUGGGCGUAAAGAGCUCGUAGGUGGUUUGUCGCGUUGUUCGUGAAAACCUGAGGCUUAACCUUGGGCGUGCGGGCGAUACGGGCAGACUGGAGUACUGCAGGGGAGACUGGAAUUCCUGGUGUAGCGGUGGAAUGCGCAGAUAUCAGGAGGAACACCGGUGGCGAAGGCGGGUCUCUGGGCAGUAACUGACGCUGAGGAGCGAAAGCGUGGGGAGCGAACAGG
Molecule: ribosomal RNA, 253 nt
Filed under: uncultured bacterium
Lineage: Bacteria
Description: partial 16S ribosomal RNA
Rfam family: Bacterial small subunit ribosomal RNA
Source: RNAcentral